GUCACAAAUGUUCUUGAAGGGGAAGGACUAAAGUGACAUUCAAGAGGUAUUUGGCAGUUUUCUACUACUUGCCAUAACUUCUGCACAAACAUCCAGUUAUAAUUUUACUCAUGGAUAAGAAUGUAGAUUUACAAACAAAAGAACAGCUGCUUAUCAUAAUUAUAAUCUCUUGGACACUCCUGCUCUUGCUUGUGAUAAUAUUACUGAUAAAAGUAUGCGUUGGCUUAUUCUUUUCGUUUCGUGGAAGCCAGAUUCCUACCUGCUUUCUCUAAAUAGAAUCAACUAAUUUGGAAACGUUCUAAAUGACAAGGCACACAGGAAAACAAGGAUGAUAUCUGAAUAAAACGAUCUCACCAUCA
This is a non-coding RNA of Rattus norvegicus (Norway rat), 359 nucleotides long. Lineage: Eukaryota; Metazoa; Chordata; Mammalia; Rodentia; Muridae. The record is from RefSeq and is a predicted model, not a curated record.